Molecule: ribosomal RNA, 459 nt
Filed under: uncultured bacterium
Lineage: Bacteria
Description: bacterial SSU rRNA
Rfam family: Bacterial small subunit ribosomal RNA
Source: RNAcentral
GCAGGAAGUGCUUGCACUUCGCUGACGAGCGGCGGAGGGAGAGUAAUGCAUAGGAAUCUGCCUGAUAGUGGGGGAUAGCCCAGAGAAAUUUGGAUUAAUACCGCAUACGCACUAGCUCUUUUAAGAGCGGUGGAAAGCUGGGGACCUUCGGGCCUAGCGCUAUCAGAUGAGCCUAUGUCGGAUUAGCUUGUUGGUGAGGUAACGGCUCACCAAGGCGACGAUCCGUAGCUGGUCUGAGAGGAUGAUCAGCCACACUGGGACUGAGACACGGCCCAGACUCCUACGGGAGGCAGCAGUGGGGAAUAUUGGACAAUGGGCGCAAGCCUGAUCCAGCCAUGCCGCGUGUGUGAAGAAGGCCUUCGGGUUGUAAAGCACUUUCUUUUUUUUUUGAUAGGGAUGCUGCUAAUAUCAACGCCUUGUGACGUUACUCGCAGAAGAAGCACCGGCUAACUCCGUGCC